RNAcentral lists this ribosomal RNA (498 nucleotides) under uncultured bacterium. RNAcentral describes it as "partial 16S ribosomal RNA". It matches the Rfam family "Bacterial small subunit ribosomal RNA", at positions 30 to 523 of the family's 1533-position model. The record is from RNAcentral.
AUUGAACGCUGGCGGCAUGCUUUACACAUGCAAGUCGAACGGCAGCGCGGGGCAACCUGGCGGCGAGUGGCGAACGGGUGAGUAAUAUAUCGGAACGUACCCAAGAGUGGGGGAUAACGUAGCGAAAGUUACGCUAAUACCGCAUACGAUCUAUGGAUGAAAGCAGGGGAUCUUCGGACCUUGUGCUCCUGGAGCGGCCGAUAUCUGAUUAGCUAGUUGGUGAGGUAAAGGCUCACCAAGGCGACGAUCAGUAGCUGGUCUGAGAGGACGACCAGCCAAACUGGAACUGAGACACGGUCCAGACUCCUACGGGAGGCAGCAGUGGGGAAUUUUGGACAAUGGGCGCAAGCCUGAUCCAGCAAUGCCGCGUGAGUGAAGAAGGCCUUCGGGUUGUAAAGCUCUUUUGUCAGGGAAGAAACGGCUGAGGCUAAUAUCCUCGGCUAAUGACGGUACCUGAAGAAUAAGCACCGGCUAACUACGUGCCAGCCGCCGCUGUAA